This 1443-nucleotide long non-coding RNA is filed under the name Citrus x clementina. RNAcentral describes it as "Citrus clementina (C. clementina) long non-coding RNA (CCLE_LNC006530)". The record is from RNAcentral. Lineage: Eukaryota; Viridiplantae; Streptophyta; Magnoliopsida; Sapindales; Rutaceae.
UUUAACAAUCCAAUUUGAUUAUAAAAUAAAGUAAACAUAUUAAUGGGAUCACCUCCUAUGCUAAUUCUAAUUCCUACAACCCAAGUAAAUAACUUUAUCUGAUUUUUAUUUUUCAUUCCAAUUAAUCUACCUUGUUUUGAUUUUGUUUCAAUUCUUUCCCAUUCUAAUUUAUGAAAAAUAAACACAUCAUAAUUUUGUUAAAAAAUAUUUUAAUUUCACAGGGUGCUAGUGCCCUCAACAAUAUUGCCAUUGGAAGCCUUGUCAGGCACUUUUUAACCUCUUUUCAUAAAGCAUGUGCGAUAUAUGAAUAAAUUUACUCUUUUGGGAGAUGUUUUGCGAUUUGUUCUUUUCAUUAACCCUUUGUCUUUUCUAAUUGCAUACCUUAAAUUUCUGCGAAUGCGACACUUGUAUGGCUAAACCAAAAUUUCAAUUUGUGCUACAAAAUAUUCUCAAUAGUAUUUCGAAUUAAUGAAUUAACAAUAUAUAGUUUGUAAUUUGUUUAACAUACCUCUUAUUUUGGUGCAAGCUUUUGUGAUUCAUUUAUGCAAAUUUGAAUAUAUUCAUUGAUUUCAUACUCUUUAAUUUAGCUCAAUUUUUUUAAAACUAAAAAAUCUUAACAAUUUUGUGUAAAGUAUUGAAACAGUCAAUAUUUAAUUAAUUGAGUAGUUUUUAAACAUCUUUAUCUAAAUUGGCCAUCUGAAUUUUAAAAUUCUAGCCAAAUUUAUUUUUUUAAAAGUCAAGCGUCUAAAUAUGUGGAAGUUUUGCAACAGUUUGGAGACUUCCACUGUUCACAAUGACAUAUGCCGACAAAUAUUUUGACCACCCUUUUUUUUUUUUUUAACUUAAGAAGUACUAAAAGUCUACCGACUUGGGUCUUGGGGGGUUUUGGGCCAAGUCUUUAGUAGGCCUAGACCCAUGCUUAAUAAAUCUUAGUAAAAAUGGGCCUUGGAAGAACCCUACUAAUAAAUUAGGUGAUGCUAUUAACACCAUAUGAAGUUCUCAAAAAACCUAUUUUGAACUUGCGACUUGUGAUACCCCUUGGGAAGUUAGUUAGGAAUCAUAUUACUUCUAGUAAGUAAUAGAGCCUAUUUUGCCACAAAGAACCCCAAAACUUGAUCAAUAAAUUUCACAACUUUUGGAGCUGCUUUCCAAUAUGUUAAUUGCAUUAGCCUUUGAUCUCUUUUCAGAUUGCAGAAAUUAAUAAGUUCCAUGUCUCCAUGGCUUAAUUCUUUUUCAUCCUUUGGGCUUGGCUUUGGACAAGUUCCCAUAGGGCUCUUUGUUUUUGUUUCUUGAUUGAAUAAUAUAAUUCAUUUAAUUUGAUAGAACUUAAUCGUGAUUAUAAUGUCUCAUAAAACUCUUUGCAGGCUUAGAAUCUACUUGAAAUUAAGGUUGGACAGUUGUAUCUUAAAAGUUAUAACACUAAAAUAUAUUAUAAGCAUUAAA